AGUGAACGCUGGCGGUAGGCCUAACACAUGCAAGUCGAACGGCAGCACAGUAAGAGCUUGCUCUUACGGGUGGCGAGUGGCGGACGGGUGAGGAAUACAUCGGAAUCUACUUUUUCGUGGGGGAUAACGUAGGGAAACUUACGCUAAUACCGCAUACGACCUACGGGUGAAAGCAGGGGAUCUUCGGACCUUGCGCGAUUGAAUGAGCCGAUGUCGGAUUAGCUAGUUGGCGGGGUAAAGGCCCACCAAGGCGACGAUCCGUAGCUGGUCUGAGAGGGUGAUCAGCCACACUGGAACUGAGACACGGUCCAGACUCCUACGGGAGGCAGCAGUGGGGAAUAUUGGACAAUGGGCGAAAGCCUGAUCCAGCCAUACCGCGUGGGUGAAGAAGGCCUUCGGGUUGUAAAGCCCUUUUGUUGGGAAAGAAAAGCAGCAGGUUAAUACCCCGCUGUUCUGACGGUACCCAAAGAAUAAGCACCGGCUAACUUCGUG
RNAcentral lists this ribosomal RNA (492 nucleotides) under uncultured bacterium. RNAcentral describes it as "partial 16S ribosomal RNA". It matches the Rfam family "Bacterial small subunit ribosomal RNA", at positions 29 to 507 of the family's 1533-position model. The record is from RNAcentral.